RNAcentral lists this ribosomal RNA (253 nucleotides) under uncultured bacterium. Its description in RNAcentral is "partial 16S ribosomal RNA". It matches the Rfam family "Bacterial small subunit ribosomal RNA", at positions 524 to 776 of the family's 1533-position model. The record is from RNAcentral.
UACGAAGGGUGCAGGCGUUAAUCGGAAUUACUGGGCGUAAAGGGUGCGUAGGCGGUUCGUUAAGUCUGUCGUGAAAUCCCCGGGCUCAACCUGGGAAUGGCGAUGGAUACUGGCGAGCUAGAGUGUGUCAGAGGAUGGUGGAAUUCCCGGUGUAGCGGUGAAAUGCGUAGAGAUCGGGAGGAACAUCAGUGGCGAAGGCGGCCAUCUGGGACAACACUGACGCUGAAGCACGAAAGCGUGGGGAGCAAACAGG